ACCUGGCUGGCUCAGUCGGUAGAGCAUGUGACUCUUGAUCUCGGGGUUAGAAGUUCGAGCCCCAUGUUGGGUA
Molecule: transfer RNA, 73 nt
Filed under: Canis lupus familiaris (dog)
Lineage: Eukaryota; Metazoa; Chordata; Mammalia; Carnivora; Canidae
Also listed under: 2 other names
Rfam family: tRNA
About the family: Transfer RNA (tRNA) molecules are approximately 80 nucleotides in length. Their secondary structure includes four short double-helical elements and three loops (D, anti-codon, and T loops).
Source: Rfam by way of RNAcentral